CUGGCUUUGAGUCUGUCCCAGCUCCCCGUUGUUUCACCUUUUGCUUGGGGUUGGGAGUCGGUGUGUAGUCUUCCUCCAUGACGUCGGAUAGCUCCUCGGAGAAGUCUGAGCAUCCUCCAUGCAGCGCCGCCAUGUUUGACUCGCCAGUGCCCCGGGCCUGACUCCACAUUUCUCCUAUCGUAAGUCCCGAUGUGUGCUUGUGUGG
Molecule: non-coding RNA, 205 nt
Organism: Pelobates cultripes (western spadefoot toad)
Lineage: Eukaryota; Metazoa; Chordata; Amphibia; Anura; Pelobatidae
Source: the annotation of a GenBank genome assembly